This 543-nucleotide small RNA is filed under the name Pongo abelii (Sumatran orangutan). Its description in RNAcentral is "retained intron". Lineage: Eukaryota; Metazoa; Chordata; Mammalia; Primates; Hominidae. The record is from RNAcentral.
GCAGAUGGCGGCGGCGCACGGCGCCUGAGCGGGCCGGGGCCAUGAGCGCCGCCCGGCCCCAGUUCAGCAUUGAUGAUGCCUUCGAGCUGUCCCUGGAGGACGCGGGCCCUGGGCCCGAGUCCAGCGGGGUCGCGCGCUUUGGGCCGCUGCACUUCGAGCGUCGGGCCCGGUUCGAGGUGGCUGACGAGGACAAGCAGUCCCGGCUGCGCUACCAGAACCUGGAGAACGAUGAGGAUGGAGCCCAGGCCUCUCCGGAGCCGGAUGGGGGAGUCAGCACCAGGUUAGGGCCAGGGAUUCCGGCCGAACUUCCAUCCGCAGCUCCCAGUGGUCCUUUAGCACCAUCAGCAGCGGCACCCAGCGCUCCUACAACACCUGCUGCAGGUGAGCCUGCCCGCCUGAGCCCCCAGCCAAGCAGCCCUGGCUCUGCCCCCACAGCCUCCUGCACCCCCUCCCUCCACCUCCUUCACAUUCACCCUGCUCUCCUGCCACGCAGCUGGACUCAACACCCUUUGAUCCAGAAGAACCGCCGAGUGGUGCUGGCCU